CGAUAGGUAGGAUCGGGAGGAUAGUCGUCUCCCUUUGUCCUGAAACCGACUAUACGCAGGGGUCAGUAACCGUCGGGUAAAGCGCGGACUGGAAUGUACUUGCCCAGCCUAUUGGGAAGAACCCACGCCACGGCGGGCUGUCAGAGAAGCGUGCUCUUCGAAGGGAGGGUUGCGACUUCGCACCAUCGAAUCGGGCGAGAUCCGGGAGGGGGCAACCCUAAGAUGGAAUGGUUGCGCUGCCGUGUCUACGCGGAGGACCGAUAAAGCUGGGAGGGAGGCACUCCGCUCGCGCGAACGCUGACGGAGCUAUCG
This 312-nucleotide signal recognition particle RNA is filed under the name Nitrososphaerota archaeon. RNAcentral describes it as "Thaumarchaeota archaeon signal recognition particle sRNA". It matches the Rfam family "Archaeal signal recognition particle RNA". Lineage: Archaea; Thermoproteati; Nitrososphaerota. The record is from RNAcentral.